AGAGUUUGAUCCUGGCUCAGAUUGAACGCUGGCGGCAUGCCUAACACAUGCAAGUCGAACGGUAACAGGUCUUCGGAUGCUGACGAGUGGCGGACGGGUGAGUAAUGCGUAGGAAUCUGUCUUUUAGUGGGGGACAACCCAGGGAAACUUGGGCUAAUACCGCAUGAGCCCUGAGGGGGAAAGCGGGGGAUCUUCGGCCUCGCGCUAAGAGAGGAGCCUACGUCCGAUUAGCUAGUUGGCGGGGUAAAGGACCCACCAAGGCGACGAUCGGUAGCUGGUCUGAGAGGACGCCAGCCACACUGGACUGAACACGCC
RNAcentral lists this ribosomal RNA (315 nucleotides) under uncultured bacterium. Its description in RNAcentral is "bacterial SSU rRNA". It matches the Rfam family "Bacterial small subunit ribosomal RNA", at positions 8 to 330 of the family's 1533-position model. The record is from RNAcentral.